AUUGAACGCUGGCGGCAGGCUUAACACAUGCAAGUCGAGCGGAGUGAUGGUGCUUGCACUAUCACUUAGCGGCGGACGGGUGAGUAAUGCUUAGGAAUCUGCCUAUUAGUGGGGGACAACAUCUCGGAAGGGAUGCUAAUACCGCAUACGUCCUACGGGAGAAAGCAGGGGAUCACUUGUGACCUUGCGCUAAUAGAUGAGCCUAAGUCGGAUUAGCUAGUUGGUGGGGUAAAGGCCUACCAAGGCGACGAUCUGUAGCGGGUCUGAGAGGAUGAUCCGGCACACUGGGACUGAGACACGGCCCAGACUCCUACGGGAGGCAGCAGUGGGGAAUAUUGGACAAUGGGGGGAACCCUGAUCCAGCCAUGCCGCGUGUGUGAAGAAGGCCUUAUGGUUGUAAAGCACUUUAAGCGAGGAGGAGGCUCUUUUGGUUAAUACCCAAGAUGAGUGGACGUUACUCGCAGAAUAAGCACCGGCUAACUCUGUGCCAGCAGCCGCGGUAA
This 503-nucleotide ribosomal RNA is filed under the name uncultured bacterium. RNAcentral describes it as "partial 16S ribosomal RNA". It matches the Rfam family "Bacterial small subunit ribosomal RNA", at positions 30 to 523 of the family's 1533-position model. The record is from RNAcentral.